This is a long non-coding RNA of Oncorhynchus tshawytscha (Chinook salmon), 2153 nucleotides long. The record is from Ensembl. Lineage: Eukaryota; Metazoa; Chordata; Actinopteri; Salmoniformes; Salmonidae.
ACCACUUCCUUAUAGGUACACUGUAAAGGGGUUAACAUGAAUUUGACAUUAGCGAACAGGCAGCUCGGUGGCAAGUAAAAUUCUAUAUUUCAUAUUACAGUACACCGAUCAUAAUAUAAACACGGUAUCAAAGUAAGUACUGUGUAAUGACACACAGUACUUCACCAGAGACAGUUUUCUCCACUAAGCAACGAGUCGGAGUCAGAGCCGGAGCCUCUUCAGGUCUCUCCUCCAUCCAUUACGGGGUCUGAGCCUUCUCAGGUCUCUCCUCCACCCAUUACGGGGUCAGAGCCUUCUCAGGUCUCUCCUCCACCCAUUACGGGGUCAGAGCCUCUUCAGGUCUCUCCUCCACCCAUUACGGGGUCAGAGCCUCUUCAGGUCUCUCCUCCACCCAUUACGGGAUCUGAGCCUUCUCAGGUCUCUCCUCCAGCCUUCUCAGGUCUCUCCUCCAGCCUCUUCAGGUCUCUCCUCCACCCAUUAUGGGGUCUGAGCCUUCUCAGGUCUCUCCUCCAGCCUUCUCAGGUCUCUCCUCCAUCCAUUACGGGGUCUGAGCCUUCUCAGUUCUCUCCUCCACCCGUUACGGGGUCAGAGCCAUCGAAGCCUCCCAUCAUUAGUUCUGACAAAUUGAAAACCCAGCGUAAUCUGAAGAUGGUGUUGGAUGAGGCUAAAACUGGCAAGUGUAGAUGGUAUAGGGAUAUUGUUAUCCACAUCGACACCAGCAAUCUUAGGAUGAAUCAGUCAAAGGUCACCAAGCGCAACAUAACUUCAGCGUGUAACUUAACUAGAAAGAUUUGUCGGCAUUGAGUAAUUGUCUCUGGCCCGCUGAGGAGUGACGGACUCCAUCCUAGCUGGAGGGGUGCUCUCAUCUCAUCUAUCAACAUAGAUAGGGCUCUAACUCCUCUAGCUCCACAAUAAGAUAGGGUGCAGGCCAGGCAGCAGGCUGUUAUCCAGCCUGCCAGCUUAGUGGAGUCUGCCACUAGCACAGUCAGUGUAGUCAGCUCAGCUAUCCCCAUUGAGACCGUAUCUGGGCCUCGAUCUAGGUUGGGCAAAACUAAACAUGGCGGUGUUUGCCUUAGCAAUCUCAAUGGAAUAAAGACCUCAUCCAUUCCUGUCAUUAUUGAAAGAGAUUGUGAUAUCUCACAUCUCAAAAUAGGACUACUUAAUGUUAGAUCCCUCACUUCCCAGGCAGUUAUAGUUAAUGAACUAAUCACUGAUCAUAAUCUUGAUGUGAUUGGCCUGACUGAAACAUGGCUUAAGCCUGAUGAAUUUACUGUGUUAAAUGAGGUCACUCCACCUGCUUACACUAGUGACCAUAUCCCCAGCGCAUCCUGCAAAGGCUAACAUUUACGACAGCAAAUUUCAAUUUACAAAAGAAAAAGACAGUGUUUUUGUCCUUUUGAGCUUUUAGUCAUGAAAUCUAUGCAACUCAAUCACUUUAUAUAUAUAAAGUGCAUCCCAUACAGUGGGGCAAAAAAGUAUUUAGUCAGCCACCAAUUGUGCAAGUUCUCCCACUUAAAAAAGAUGAGGGAGGCCUGUAAUUGCUCCCACAGUUGAUUUCUUCAAACCAAGCUGCUUACCUAUUGCAGAUUCAGUCUUCCCAGCCUGGUGCAGGUCUACCAUUUUGUUUCUGGUGUCCUUUGACAGCUCUUUGGUCUUGGCCAUAGUGGAGUUUGGCGUGGGACUGUUUGAGGUUGUGGACAGGUGUCUUUUAUACUGAUAACAAGUUCAAACAGGUGCCAUUAAUACAGGUAACGAGUGGAGGACAGAGGAGCCUCUUAAAGAAGAAGUUACAGGUCUGUGAGAGCCAGAAAUCUUGCUUGUUUGUAUGUGACCAAAUACUUAUUUUCCACCAUAAUUUGCAAAUAAAUUCAUUAAAAAUCCUACAAUGUGAUUUUCUGGAUUCUUUCCCCUCAUUUUGUCAGUCAUAGUUGAAGUGUACCUAUGAUGAAAAUUACAGGCCUCUCUCAUAUUUUUAAGUGGGAGAACUUGCACAAUUAGUGGCUGACUAAAUACUUUUUUGCCCCACUGUAUCUACAACGCAAAAUCCAUGUAUACGUAUGCUAUCUUUUGUAUGUAUGCAUGUGUCUGUGCCUAUGUUUGUGUUGCUUCCAAGUCCCUGCUGUUCCAUAAGGUGUAUUUUUAUCUGUUUUUAA